RNAcentral lists this ribosomal RNA (253 nucleotides) under uncultured bacterium. RNAcentral's name for it is "partial 16S ribosomal RNA". It matches the Rfam family "Bacterial small subunit ribosomal RNA", at positions 524 to 776 of the family's 1533-position model. The record is from RNAcentral.
UACAGAGGGGGCGAGCGUUAUUCGGAAUUACUGGGCGUAAAGGGCGCGUAGGCGGCCUGCUAAGUCGAACGUGAAAUCCCCGGGCUCAACCCGGGAACUGCGUCCGAUACUGGUGGGCUUGAAUCCGGGAGAGGGAUGUGGAAUUCCAGGUGUAGCGGUGAAAUGCGUAGAUAUCUGGAGGAACACCGGUGGCGAAGGCGGCAUCCUGGACCGGUAUUGACGCUGAGGCGCGAAAGCUAGGGGAGCAAACGGG